AGAUUGAACGCUGGCGGCAUGCUUUACACAUGCAAGUCGAGCGGCAGCGCGGGGGCAACCCUGGCGGCGAGCGGCGAACGGGUGAGUAAUGCUUUGGAAUCUUCCCAGUAGUGGGGAAUAACCAGUCGAAAGAUUGGCUAAUACCGCAUACGUCUGUAAAGGGAAAGCGGGGGCUCGUAAGACCUCGCGCUAUUGGAUGAGCCAAAGUCGGAUUAGCUAGUUGGUGGGGUAAUGGCCUACCAAGGCGACAAUCCGUAGCUGGUCUGAGAGGACGACCAGCCACACCGGAACUGAGACACGGUCCGGACUCCUACGGGAGGCAGCAGUGGGGAAUAUUGGACAAUGGGGGAAACCCUGAUCCAGCGACGCCGCGUGUGUGAAGAAGGCCUGCGGUUGUAAAGCACUUUAGUGGGACAAAAGCUACGGAUUAAUACUCUGUGGUCUUGAUUUAACCCAAAGAAAAGCACCGGCUAACUCUAGUGCCAGCAGCCGC
This 493-nucleotide ribosomal RNA is filed under the name uncultured bacterium. RNAcentral's name for it is "SSU rRNA". It matches the Rfam family "Bacterial small subunit ribosomal RNA", at positions 26 to 518 of the family's 1533-position model. The record is from RNAcentral.